UUGAACGCUGGCGGCAUGCUUUACACAUGCAAGUCGAACGGCAGCACGGGGGCAACCCUGGUGGCGAGUGGCGAACGGGUGAGUAAUAUAUCGGAACAUAUCCGGGAGUGGGGGAUAACGUAGCGAAAGUUACGCUAAUACCGCAUAUGCCCUGAGGGGGAAAGUGGGGGAUCGCAAGACCUCGCGCGGACGGAGCGGCCGAUGGCAGAUUAGGUAGUUGGUGGGAUAAAAGCUUACCAAGCCGACGAUCUGUAGCUGGUCUGAGAGGACGACCAGCCACACUGGGACUGAGACACGGCCCAGACUCCUACGGGAGGCAGCAGUGGGGAAUUUUGGACAAUGGGCGAAAGCCUGAUCCAGCCAUGCCGCGUGCAGGAUGAAGGCCUUCGGGUUGUAAACUGCUUUUGUACGGAACGAAAAAGUCUUCUCUAAUACAGGGGGCGAAUGACGGUACCGUAAGAAUAAGCACCGGCUAACUACGU
This 482-nucleotide ribosomal RNA is filed under the name uncultured bacterium. RNAcentral's name for it is "bacterial SSU rRNA". It matches the Rfam family "Bacterial small subunit ribosomal RNA", at positions 29 to 506 of the family's 1533-position model. The record is from RNAcentral.